RNAcentral lists this ribosomal RNA (305 nucleotides) under uncultured bacterium. RNAcentral describes it as "bacterial SSU rRNA". It matches the Rfam family "Bacterial small subunit ribosomal RNA", at positions 334 to 631 of the family's 1533-position model. The record is from RNAcentral.
GAGAUCUACGGGAGGCAGCAGUGGGGAAUAUUGGGCAAUGGGCGCAAGCCUGACCCAGCAACGCCGCGUGAGGGAUGAAGGUCUUCGGAUCGUAAACCUCUGUCAGCAGGGAAGAACGGUCACUGUGCUAAUCAGCAGUGAAUUGACGGUACCUGCAAAGGAAGCACCGGCUAACUCCGUGCCAGCAGCCGCGGUAAUACGGAGGGUGCGAGCGUUAAUCGGAAUUACUGGGCGUAAAGCGCUCGUAGGCGGCACGGCAAGCCUGAUGUGAAAGCCCGCGGCCCAACCGCGGGACUGCAUUGGGA